GGGGAAUUUUCCGCAAUGGGCGAAAGCCUGACGGAGCAAUACCGCGUGCGGGAGGAAGGCCCUUGGGUCGUAAACCGCUUUUAACAGGGAAGAAGAUCUGACGGUACCUGNUUGAAUAAGCCUCGGCUAACUCCGUGCCAGCAGCCGCGGUAAGACGGAGGAGGCAAGCGUUAUCCGGAAUUAUUGGGCGUAAAGCGUCCGCAGGUGGCCUGCCAAGUCUGCUGUUAAAGCCCAGGGNCUCAACCCUGGUAUCAGCAGUGGAAACUGGUAGGCUAGAGUGCGGUAGGGGCAGAGGGAAUUCCCAGUGUAGCGGUGAAAUGCGUAGAUAUUGGGAAGAACACCAGUGGCGAAGGCGCUCUGCUGGACCGCAACUGACACUCAUGGAUCAAAGCUAGGGGAGCGAAAGGGAUUAGAUACCCCUGNUAGUC
This 428-nucleotide ribosomal RNA is filed under the name uncultured cyanobacterium. RNAcentral describes it as "bacterial SSU rRNA". It matches the Rfam family "Bacterial small subunit ribosomal RNA", at positions 356 to 795 of the family's 1533-position model. The record is from RNAcentral. Lineage: Bacteria; Bacillati; Cyanobacteriota.